Lethenteron reissneri (Far Eastern brook lamprey) is the source of this 778-nucleotide long non-coding RNA. RefSeq lists it as uncharacterized. NCBI's taxonomy places the organism in Eukaryota, Metazoa, Chordata, Hyperoartia, Petromyzontiformes, Petromyzontidae. The record is from RefSeq and is a predicted model, not a curated record.
UGGGACUUCACAUCUUUCAAUGAUCUGUGAACUGCUUAAACCCAGGUAGAAUAGCCUGAAUGUUUCAAGUCGGUGCAGGUGCUCAUUAUAACGUGGCUCGCAUUUAGCAGCCAAAGGGGGUAGAGAAGGGAAUGGCAGUAGCUGAGAAGACCCAGAGCUUCACGUGUCAAUCAGCUGGCCAGUGUUGCAUGGCCAGUGAAAAACAUGAUUCAAACCAUCCGACGCUAAGCCACGUGAAAGGUCAGCGAGUCAGUCCUUGGCAGCCACUUCACGCAAACAAGACGAUGCGGACGACGACGACGACGGCGGUUUCGCCAAUGGUCGCUUCCAUUUAGAAACUGCGACUCGCCAACGAAAAUAGGCUGUUCUUUGCUGGAGCUGCCUCCGACCCUGCCGGGUGAAAAUGCUGCAAGAAAAAGAAAACCAUUGCCUUUAAAUAAUGCCACAUCAUUCACAUACCCUUUGAAAUAACAUCACACAUUCUUUAAAUAUUGAUACGGGGAAAAUCAAUACACUAUACACGUCAUAUAUAGAUACACAAUGUUGGGCAUUAUAUUUAUUUUUUGGCGUGAUAAUAUCGAGACAUUGAGGCAUGUCCGCACAGGGCAAGUGUAAGGUGGUGUGCCCUUGUAGAGGGAAGCUAUAAAUAACGCGCGCGUUCUGCCCUUGAUGCUCCGGCGUAUUGCGCCAUCGGCGUGGCCAGCGGUAGACGGGGUGGGUGGCGUCAACAAAGUGCUGAGCGGUGAAUAACGGCCGCGUGUGCGACACCCAACAGCUU